CAGUGGGGAAUAUUGCACAAUCGGGGGAAGCCCUGAUGCAGCCAUGCCGCGUGUGUGAAGAAGGCCUUCGGGUUGUAAAGCACUUUCAGUAGGGAGGAAGGUAGUGUAGUUAACACCUGCACUAUUUGACGUUACCUACAGAAGAAAGCACCGGCUAACUCCGUGCCAGCAGCCGCGGUAAUACGGAGGGUGCGAGCGUUAAUCGGAAUUACUGGGCGUAAAGCGCAUGCAGGCGGCCUGUUAAGUCAGAUGUGAAAGCCCGGGGCUUAACCUCGGAAUUGCAUUUGAAACUGGCAGGCUAGAGUCUUGUAGAGGGGGGUAGGAAUUUCAGGUGUAGCGGUGAAAUGCGUAGAGAUCUGAAGGAAUACCAGUGGCGAAGGCGGCCCCCUCGGACAAAGACUGACGCUCAGAUGCGAAAGCGUGGGGAGCAAACAGGAUUAGAUACCCUGGUAG
RNAcentral lists this ribosomal RNA (453 nucleotides) under uncultured bacterium. RNAcentral's name for it is "bacterial SSU rRNA". It matches the Rfam family "Bacterial small subunit ribosomal RNA", at positions 352 to 793 of the family's 1533-position model. The record is from RNAcentral.